AAGUCGUAACAAGGUUUCCGUAGGUGAACCUGCGGAAGGAUCAUUAACACGUAUCCAAACGUUAAACCCCCCCCGUGAACCUUCAUCGUGCUCUAGUGGGCCACUGAUAAACACAGCAAUUCCUGGUAAAUCAUUGUCUGAACAAGCCUUUGAGUCAGGAACCUCUGUGCAGUGCGAGCUACACCCACUAUAGAAGCGCUAGUUCCAUCGGCAUUGUUUCCCCAAGCAGCCAGUGCGUGAAAGCAACACGCGGGCAGAGCUUUGCCAAAGGGUCCCCAUGCCCCUUCCUUCUGCCGAUUUCACAUACAAAGCUCCAUUUUCAAUUAUGGAUGGGGUAAAACCGAACAACUGUUAACAAUGGAUAUCUUGGUUCUC
This 375-nucleotide unclassified non-coding RNA is filed under the name fungal sp. Its description in RNAcentral is "partial internal transcribed spacer region". The stretch from base 1 to 46 matches the Rfam family "Eukaryotic small subunit ribosomal RNA", at positions 1786 to 1831 of the family's 1831-position model. Lineage: Eukaryota; Fungi. The record is from RNAcentral.